GUUUAAAGCCAUACCUCCCCAAAUACACCCUCAUCUGAUCUUGGAAGCCAAGUAGGGUCUUUGGCCUGGUUAAUACUUUCUUUAAUGGGACACUGCCUGGGAAUUCAGGAUGCUUUUUUUU
RNAcentral lists this ribosomal RNA (121 nucleotides) under Saimiri boliviensis boliviensis (Bolivian squirrel monkey). The record is from RNAcentral. Lineage: Eukaryota; Metazoa; Chordata; Mammalia; Primates; Cebidae.